This 1205-nucleotide long non-coding RNA is filed under the name Monodelphis domestica (gray short-tailed opossum). RNAcentral's name for it is "lncRNA (ENSMODG00000034080.2)". Lineage: Eukaryota; Metazoa; Chordata; Mammalia; Didelphimorphia; Didelphidae. The record is from RNAcentral.
AUGAAUGGGCUCAAUGCGCAUAUAAAGGCUGGGGAGGAGCGAUCAGAAAGGAAUGGAAUUCCAGUCUCCCGCAGGUGGAGGCCAGCCCCGGGGCCGGCCCCGACCGGGAGGAGUAGGACUGGGGAGAGGGCAGAGGUGGGGCCCCGUGACUCUACCAGGAAGCUAGGGUCCAAGGACCAAGCAUUUCCCUGUCCCACCCUGAGAGCCGGAACCUUCGGCGCUGAAACCAGCCGGCGACAUUCCGGGAGCCCCAGAGGCAGCCACCAGGCUGGUGGACCCCACAGGAGCCCCAGAGGACAGCAAGACCCCAGGGCGGAGCCAGCUGAGCCCACAGCCGCUGGUGGCCAGAGCCCUGGGGGAGGCCGGGCCCAAGACCCCACUGGAGCAGGUCACCCGGGAGCGGGACGAUGCCAUUGCCAAGAAGCUGGCAGUAGAAGCCGAGCUGGGCAUCUGCAGGGCCAAACUCCAAGCCUCGGAGAAGCAGUUGCUGGAGGUGGUGGCAGAGAAGCUGAAGCUGAUGGAGGAGAUCGAGGCCUGGAAGGAAGACAUGCAGGAGCUGAUCCGCCAACAGAUUCACAGGCAGCUGCAGAGAGAGGGCAGGGCCCCUGCCUCCGAGCCCAGAGCCCCCCGGGCUGGCCUGACCUCCCAUUUCUCCCAGUGGCAGUGGAGAUGGCGGAGGACUACAUUCUCUGCUUCCAACUCCACUGAAGACUCAGAGCCCUAAUCCUUUUUUGACUCCAUGACCUGUCCUGGGGAUUUGAUGGAUCCUUGACACUGAUUGCAGGACUAUGGGAUGCUUCUGACUGUCAAGAAGGCUGAUGCUCUGCCCUCCAGGCCCUAGUGGAUAAACCUCAUCUGCUACAACAUCUGGACCAUGGGCUAUGCUGAUUCCUCUCAUUCUGUUUCUGAUGAAGACCAAGGGGACCCAUCUAAACGGAGGCAGGAGAGCCUGCUGCUCAGUGCUCCUGGUCUCAGACUAGCUGGAAUCAUGGUUGCCUGGGCUCCUCCUUUGUUUCUGGGGCUUGAACUUGGAGUUAGCAGUCUCCCCAACUCCUUAUGCUUGUUGACCCUCCUCCGACCUGGGGGUGCCUACUAGUAGCCUGGGUAUUUGGCAAAGAAUCAAGCUGGUUCAUUCAAUAUUCAUUAAGUAAAUUAUGCUAUGUGCUGGGCAUACCAAGACAAAAUAAAAAGUCUGUCUGGCCUCA